UGAGUUUGAUUCUGGCUCAGGAUGAACGCUGGCGGCGUGCUUAACACAUGCAAGUCGAACGAACCUUCGGGUUAGUGGCGGACGGGUGAGUAACGCGUGAGAAUCUGCCCUCAGGAGGGGGAUAACGGUUGGAAACGACCGCUAAUACCCCAUAUGCCUACUGGUGAAAUGAAUUUCGCCUGAGGAUGAGCUCGCGUCUGAUUAGCUAGUUGGUGAGGUAAUGGCUCACCAAGGCUUCGAUCAGUAGCUGGUCUGAGAGGAUGAUCAGCCACACUGGGACUGAGACACGGCCCAGACUCCUACGGGAGGCAGCAGUGGGGAAUUUUCCGCAAUGGGCGAAAGCCUGACGGAGCAACGCCGCGUGAGGGAAGAAGGCCUCUGGGCUGUAAACCUCUUUUCUCAAGGAAGAAGAUAUGACGGUACUUGAGGAAUAAGCCACGGCUAAUUCCGUGCCAGCAGCCGCGGUAAUACGGGAGUGGCAAGCGUUAUCCGGAAUUAUUGGGCGUAAAGCGUCCGCAGGCGGCUUUUCAAGUCUGCUGUUAAAGCGUGGAGCUUAACUCCAUCAUGGCAGUGGAAACUGAAAGGCUUGAGUAUGGUAGGGGCAGAGGGAAUUCCCGGUGUAGCGGUGAAAUGC
RNAcentral lists this ribosomal RNA (634 nucleotides) under uncultured cyanobacterium. RNAcentral's name for it is "bacterial SSU rRNA". It matches the Rfam family "Bacterial small subunit ribosomal RNA", at positions 1 to 689 of the family's 1533-position model. The record is from RNAcentral. Lineage: Bacteria; Bacillati; Cyanobacteriota.